RNAcentral lists this unclassified non-coding RNA (737 nucleotides) under Hevea brasiliensis (rubber tree). The record is from RNAcentral. Lineage: Eukaryota; Viridiplantae; Streptophyta; Magnoliopsida; Malpighiales; Euphorbiaceae.
AGGUAAAAUGGAACAAAGAGAAUCAAAAUGAGAUACGGAUUUAGGGUUUUAGUCUCUCAAUAUUCUAUUUCGUUUCUUCCCUCAAGUAAGCUUUCUCUUUGAAACGUUGAACCACCCAAGAUCUUUCAGUUCUCAAACUUCCAGAUUCAGACAGCCAAACACUCACCAAUAAAGAUGGAACACAACAGUUACCUCAGAAAACAAAACUAAAACAAGAGUUUCUAUCACAAUUCUUUUUCAAAGAGAACAAGUACCGCGAGUAAGCUGUGUAUGUCUUCAUCUUUCUCUGCUUUUUCAAGUGUAAGCCAGCUAAAUUUGAAAUUGGAACUCCUCCAUGUGUACAGGGGAACAACAAAAACUUGUGUGCAGAAUAUAGACCAGUAGCGCGUGAAGGGCUUCAACUUAUUUUGUUAAAUACCUUUCUCUGAAUGUAUCAUGACCAAGUUAAAUUAAGAUAAUCUGCUAUACAGAAUCUCCAACCUUGAUAUCAGACUUGAGCAGAUGUUGAACUUCUCAAAGCUGCUUCACGUUCCUGACGCCGAUGCUCUCUUCUUCUUUCCCAAUAUGGAUGGAAGCAUACGAAGUCAUAGACAGGAGUUAUAGUUGAGACCAGAACAACGUUAAGUCCAGUAAACAGCAGGAGACCUGCCAUAGGCCGAGCUCUGUGAGGCAUUGCGGAUAAAUGAUGAUUUUGAACUCUGCAAGACACAAGACCACAUUCAGUAUACAAAACUGAA